This 604-nucleotide long non-coding RNA is filed under the name Nicotiana benthamiana. RNAcentral describes it as "long non-coding RNA (NBEN_LNC032858)". Lineage: Eukaryota; Viridiplantae; Streptophyta; Magnoliopsida; Solanales; Solanaceae. The record is from RNAcentral.
GAUGUUGCCUUGCCUUCAACUGUGCAUAAUUCCAUUUGUAAUAAUGCUGUUACAACUGAUAUGAAUUACAUUUGGCAUUUAAGACUAGCACAUACUUCCUUUGCUAAUAUGAGACAUAUUUCUGGUUUGUCUUUUCCAUUUGCUUCUAAAAAACCUUUUCCUUGUUCUGUCUGUCCUAUGGCCAAACAAACCAGACUCCCUUUUCCUGAUAGUAGUAUCAAUACUACUAGACCUUUCCAAUUAAUACAUGUGGAUACUUGGGGACCUUACCACACUUCUACUUCUUCUGGUUAUAGAUAUUUCCUUACAAUAGUUGAUGAUUUCUCCAGGGCAACCUGGACACACUUAAUGGGCUCUAAGAGAAAUGCUUUUCCCCUGCUUAAAUCUUUCAUCUGUUUUGUUGAUACUCAGUUUUAAUAGUUGAUGAUUUCUCUAGGGCAACCUGGACACACUUAAAUGGGCUCUAAAAGCAAUGCCUUCUCCCUGCUUAAAUCUUUCAUCUGUUUGGUUAAAACUCAUUUUAAUACUGUGGUUCAAAUUGUUAGAAGUGACAAUGCUUUAGAAUUGGGGUCUAGCAUUGAGGGUAUAUCUUUCUUUAGUAGNN